CUAGUAUCGCGAGAUCAGGAAGGUGGCCGAGUGUGUCGCCGCGGCCAUCAGGCACUUCUCCUUCCUGCCCUUGUAUGAAGAAGGAUGUGUUUGCUUCCCCUUGUGCCAUGAUUGUAAAUUUCCUGAGGCCUCCUCAGCCCUGCAGAACUGGGGUUAUAGCCAUGUGACUGAUCUUCGUCCAAGAAUAUGUAAAGAAAAAGUGUUGAGUUGGCUUUUAGGGCUAGAGCAAUGUAUCUUAGGCUCACUUAAGGAAGCUGUAGAGAUGAGCCCAAGGAGGGAAACCAGAAGAGCCCCCCAGGCUCACCAGUUGUUUGUUGGCUCCCUACAAACAUGUCAUUCAAGUGGCUAAUCUUACAACAGCACAAAUUCAUCUAACCAGAAAGAGAAGAGGAGGCUCCAAAGGCACUUGACUACUGAGCAUCACCCUGGACGUGUACAAGUCUGCGUCCUUAUUGUUUUCUUCAUUGGGCCGAACUUUCUGGUCCUCAUCCAACAGCUCUUCUAUCACGUGUUCGAAAGUGUCAGCCAAUGAUGUCAAGCCUCUUGAACCUGCCUUGGGCCCAUUCACGCUCUCCAGAGUCCCAUGGGUCCGCACACCUGGGUAGGCCAAGCCACCUUGUCCUCGGAUGUUUGCUUCUUUCAUGGGGGCAGCCUUCAUGCAACCAAAGUAUGAAAUAACCAUAAGAUACUCUAUUAUAGCAAAGAAGAAAGAUAAUUUCAUUGAGCCAUCCUGUUUUACAGGAUUUUCCCUCCUGGUGAGUCAAAAUGAACAAGAAAUACCCCAGGACCUCCCUUCCCUCCUUGGCCAUUAAUGAGAUGAAGGCAAUUAACUCACAUAGUAUAAAUGAAUCAUUUGAGGUGAUGACUGCAUUUUAGGCAAAUGAUGACUUUCUUGGUUCCAUUGGUUUGCAAGUAAAAGUUACACACAUUGAAAAGACACUGAAACAGAUUUCCUAAAUGCUUCAUUUUCUGGAUGCACCAAUGUUGACCUACUAUACAUGUUAAAUGGUUUUAAAAUAUCACCUUAAAAUAAAGGAAACUUCCAGCUACUAACUCAGCUCUGAAUGGGCUAUGAAAGGCUCCAAAGGUAUGUGAAAAAUUACUGUUAUUUUGCUUUAAAAAAUGUGAUGUCUAAGAGUGUCUGCAAUGUUCUAAUGCUUCAAAACAUGUACGUAAGCCUUGUUUAUCUGGAAAUCAUUUCUUUCUGCUUAUAUCAUUUAUAAAUAGAAAAUGUUCUGUAAUAACUUAAAAUAGUUCCACAUACAUAAUGCUUUUAGUGUCAUAAUACUUACUACUGGUCUAUAUUUACCAACAUUUAUCACAUUUUACAAAAUGAAGUAGAAGAAAAAAAAGACAACGACUUUAUGGCCCUGGAAUUCCAGUAAUGGUGACCAACAUGUUUUAAAUUCCAGUAAAGGUUAUGGUUACAUUUCAACAAGUGUCUCUUUCCUUUUUUUUACCUCUCCUGCUAACCCAGAGGUAAAUUUCCCAAAAA
Molecule: long non-coding RNA, 1495 nt
Filed under: Homo sapiens (human)
Lineage: Eukaryota; Metazoa; Chordata; Mammalia; Primates; Hominidae
Description: BDNF antisense RNA
Source: RNAcentral